Molecule: ribosomal RNA, 253 nt
Filed under: uncultured bacterium
Lineage: Bacteria
Also listed under: 1 other name
Description: partial 16S ribosomal RNA
Rfam family: Bacterial small subunit ribosomal RNA
Source: RNAcentral
UACAGAGGGGGCAAGCGUUAUUCGGAAUUAUUGGGCGUAAAGGGCGCGUAGGCGGCCCUUCAAGUGGUAGGUGAAAUCCCUCGGCUCAACCGAGGAGCUGCCCGCCAAACUGAAGAGCUUGAGUCCGGGAGAGGUGAGUGGAAUUCCCAGUGUAGCGGUGAAAUGCGUAGAUAUUGGGAGGAACACCAGUGGCGAAGGCGGCUCACUGGACCGGAACUGACGCUGAGGCGCGAAAGCGUGGGGAGCAAACGGG